Molecule: transfer RNA, 72 nt
Filed under: Oscillospiraceae bacterium
Lineage: Bacteria; Bacillati; Bacillota; Clostridia; Eubacteriales; Oscillospiraceae
Description: tRNA-OTHER
Rfam family: tRNA
About the family: Transfer RNA (tRNA) molecules are approximately 80 nucleotides in length. Their secondary structure includes four short double-helical elements and three loops (D, anti-codon, and T loops). Further hydrogen bonds mediate the characteristic L-shaped molecular structure. tRNAs have two regions of fundamental functional importance: the anti-codon, which is responsible for specific mRNA codon recognition, and the 3' end, to which the tRNAs corresponding amino acid is attached (by aminoacyl-tRNA synthetases). tRNAs cope with the degeneracy of the genetic code in two manners: having more than one tRNA (with a specific anti-codon) for a particular amino acid; and 'wobble' base-pairing, i.e. permitting non-standard base-pairing at the 3rd anti-codon position.
Source: RNAcentral
GUGGCAGUAGCUCAGUUGGUAGAGCCGGGGAAAGCACACCCCGUGUCGGCGGUUCAAGUCCGCCCUGCUGUC